RNAcentral lists this long non-coding RNA (272 nucleotides) under Setaria viridis. RNAcentral describes it as "long non-coding RNA (SVIR_LNC007665)". The record is from RNAcentral. Lineage: Eukaryota; Viridiplantae; Streptophyta; Magnoliopsida; Poales; Poaceae.
CUAUACCAGACAGAGGAUGAUGUGUAGAUUGAUUCCAAAAAAAAUUUCAGCUCUUUCCUUCCUUGAUCCACGUGCGCAGCGCAGAGCACCAACAAGCAGCAAAACUUUCGGAUCUUUUCUUCCUCGAUCCACGUGCGUAGAGCAAAGAGAGCACCAGGUGCGUAGAGCACCUGCAGACGUGCGCAGAGCACCACUGGAUCGCAAGCAGCACGCACGUACAUGAGCUCCCUCCAAUCUUCAUGAGAGUGGGAUUUCUCGAUUUACGCGUGCAC